RNAcentral lists this ribosomal RNA (475 nucleotides) under uncultured bacterium. Its description in RNAcentral is "SSU rRNA". It matches the Rfam family "Bacterial small subunit ribosomal RNA", at positions 26 to 518 of the family's 1533-position model. The record is from RNAcentral.
AGGACGAACGCUGGCGGCGUGCUUAACACAUGCAAGUCGAGCGGAAAGGCCCUUCGGGGUACUCGAGCGGCGAACGGGUGAGUAACACGUGAGUAAUCUGCCCCUAGCUCUGGGAUAGCUCCGGGAAACCGGGAUUAAUACCAGAUACGACCACUUUAGACAUCUGUUGUGGUGGAAAGAAUUUCGGCUAGGGAUGAGCUCGCGGCCUAUCAGCUUGUUGGUGAGGUAACGGCUCACCAAGGCGACGACGGGUAGCCGGCCUGAGAGGGCGACCGGCCACACUGGGACUGAGACACGGCCCAGACUCCUACGGGAGGCAGCAGUGGGGAAUAUUGCGCAAUGGGCGAAAGCCUGACGCAGCGACGCCGCGUGGGGGAUGGAAGGCCUUCGGGUUGUAAACCCCUUUCAGCAGGGACGAAGCGAAAGUGACGGUACCUGCAGAAGAAGCGCCGGCUAACUACGUGCCAGCAGCCGC